Molecule: unclassified non-coding RNA, 368 nt
Filed under: Hevea brasiliensis (rubber tree)
Lineage: Eukaryota; Viridiplantae; Streptophyta; Magnoliopsida; Malpighiales; Euphorbiaceae
Source: RNAcentral
UGAGAGUUGCAGAAUUUCUGAUUCAGAUGGAACAAGAGAGAGGAUAGAUGGGAAAAGAACCCACAUAGAUUCUGAUGUUCAAGCUUCUGAAUUUGAGGAUGGUAAAACAAAUACAGAGAGAAUCCAGCGUUCUGGUCAAGAACUGGAUGCUGAAACAUUGACUGAUGUUUCUGGCAAGGUGGCUAUUGGUAUUCCGUUUACUGAUGGAGGUGAUCAAGAAGCUAUGGACAAUUUAAAGCAAACAUCACCAAGGUUGGAUGUUCUCAAGACAAGGCAAAGAAGUUCGUCCCCUGCUGCUGAUUCUAGGGGAGAAAGCAAAAGAUUAGCAAUGAGAUGUGAGUUUUUUGCAAGGGGUUGGUGCAUCAAAG